Molecule: ribosomal RNA, 318 nt
Filed under: uncultured Streptococcus sp.
Lineage: Bacteria; Bacillati; Bacillota; Bacilli; Lactobacillales; Streptococcaceae
Description: bacterial SSU rRNA
Rfam family: Bacterial small subunit ribosomal RNA
Source: RNAcentral
GUGUCGUGAGAUGUUGGUUAAGUCCGCAACGAGCGCAACCCCUACUUGUUAGUUGCCAUCAUUCAGUUGGGCACUCUAGCGAGACUGCCGGUAAUAAACCGGAGGAAGGUGGGGAUGACGUCAAAUCAUCAUGCCCCUUAUGACCUGGGCUACACACGUGCUACAAUGGUUGGUACAACGAGUUGCGAGUCGGUGACGGCGAGCUAAUCUCUUAAAGCCAAUCUCAGUUCGGAUUGUAGGCUGCAACUCGCCUACAUGAAGUCGGAAUCGCUAGUAAUCGCGGAUCAGCACGCCGCGGUGAAUACGUUCCCGGGCCUU